RNAcentral lists this ribosomal RNA (1384 nucleotides) under Campylobacter coli. RNAcentral describes it as "bacterial LSU rRNA". It matches the Rfam family "Bacterial large subunit ribosomal RNA", at positions 1508 to 2880 of the family's 2925-position model. The record is from RNAcentral. Lineage: Bacteria; Pseudomonadati; Campylobacterota; Epsilonproteobacteria; Campylobacterales; Campylobacteraceae.
UAGUCUAAGGUCGUAGGAGGUUAUACAGGCAAAUCCGUAUAACAAUACUCCGAGAACUGAAAGGCUUUUUGAAGUCUUCGGAUGGAUAGAAGAACCCCUGAUGCCGUCGAGCCAAGAAAAGUUUCUAAGUUUAGCUAAUGUUGCCCGUACCGUAAACCGACACAGGUGGGUGGGAUGAGUAUUCUAAGGCGCGUGGAAGAACUCUCUUUAAGGAACUCUGCAAAAUAGCACCGUAUCUUCGGUAUAAGGUGUGGUUCGCUUCGUAUUAGGAUUUACUCCGAAAGCGAAGAAACUUACAACAAAGAGUCCCUCCCGACUGUUUACCAAAAACACAGCACUCUGCUAACUCGUAAGAGGAUGUAUAGGGUGUGACGCCUGCCCGGUGCUCGAAGGUUAAUUGAUGGGGUUAGCAUUAGCGAAGCUCUUGAUCGAAGCCCGAGUAAACGGCGGCCGUAACUAUAACGGUCCUAAGGUAGCGAAAUUCCUUGUCGGUUAAAUACCGACCUGCAUGAAUGGCGUAACGAGAUGGGAGCUGUCUCAAAGAGGGAUCCAGUGAAAUUGUAGUGGAGGUGAAAAUUCCUCCUACCCGCGGCAAGACGGAGAGACCCCGUGGACCUUUACUAUAGCUUGACACUGCUAUUUGGAUAAGAAUGUGCAGGAUAGGUGGGAGGCUUUGAGUAUAUGACGCCAGUUGUAUAUGAGCCAUUGUUGAGAUACCACUCUUUCUUAUUUGGGUAGCUAACCAGCUUGAGUUAUCCUCAAGUGGGACAAUGUCUGGUGGGUAGUUUGACUGGGGCGGUCGCCUCCCAAAUAAUAACGGAGGCUUACAAAGGUUGGCUCAGAACGGUUGGAAAUCGUUCGUAGAGUAUAAAGGUAUAAGCCAGCUUAACUGCAAGACAUACAAGUCAAGCAGAGACGAAAGUCGGUCUUAGUGAUCCGGUGGUUCUGUGUGGAAGGGCCAUCGCUCAAAGGAUAAAAGGUACCCCGGGGAUAACAGGCUGAUCUCCCCCAAGAGCUCACAUCGACGGGGAGGUUUGGCACCUCGAUGUCGGCUCAUCGCAUCCUGGGGCUGGAGCAGGUCCCAAGGGUAUGGCUGUUCGCCAUUUAAAGCGGUACGCGAGCUGGGUUCAGAACGUCGUGAGACAGUUCGGUCCCUAUCUGCCGUGGGCGUAAGAAGAUUGAAGAGAUUUGACCCUAGUACGAGAGGACCGGGUUGAACAAACCACUGGUGUAGCUGUUGUUCUGCCAAGAGCAUCGCAGCGUAGCUAAGUUUGGAAAGGAUAAACGCUGAAAGCAUCUAAGCGUGAAGCCAACUCUAAGAUGAAUCUUCUCUAAGCUCUCUAGAAGACUACUAGUUUGAUAGGCUGGGUGUGUAAUGGAUGAA